UUGGAGGGCAAGUCUGGUGCCAGCAGCCGCGGUAAUUCCAGCUCCAAUAGCGUAUAUUAAAGUUGUUGCAGUUAAAAAGCUCGUAGUUGAAUCUCGAGAUCAAAUUGUUGGUCGUGCCUUGGUACGUACUGGCAUUAUUGAUUUCUCCCUUCUGAAGAACCACGAUGUCAUUAAUUUGGUGUCAUGGGGAAUCAGGACUGUUACUUUGAAAAAAUUAGAGUGUUUAAAGCAGGCUAACGCUUGAAUACAUUAGCAUGGAAUAAUGAAAUAGGACGUUUGAUUCUAUUUUGUUGGUUUCUAGGAUCGACGUAAUGAUUAAUAGGGAUAGUUGGGGGCAUUAGUAUUCAAUUGUCAGAGGUGAAAUUCUUGGAUUUAUUGAAGACUAACUACUGCGAAAGCAUUUGCCAAGGAUGUUUUCAUUAAUCAAGAACGAAAGUUAGGGGAUCGAAGACGAUCAGAUACCGUCGUAGUCUUAACCAUAAACUAUGCCGACUAGGGAUCGGAUGAUGUUAAUUUUUUAAUGACUCAUUCGGCGCCUUACGGGAAACCAAAGUGUUUGGGUUC
This 564-nucleotide ribosomal RNA is filed under the name uncultured Glomeromycotina. Its description in RNAcentral is "SSU rRNA". It matches the Rfam family "Eukaryotic small subunit ribosomal RNA", at positions 548 to 1114 of the family's 1831-position model. The record is from RNAcentral. Lineage: Eukaryota; Fungi; Glomeromycota.